Molecule: ribosomal RNA, 115 nt
Filed under: Aerococcus urinae
Lineage: Bacteria; Bacillati; Bacillota; Bacilli; Lactobacillales; Aerococcaceae
Description: partial 16S ribosomal RNA
Rfam family: Bacterial small subunit ribosomal RNA
Source: RNAcentral
AGUCGGUGAGGUAACCUUUGGAGCCAGCCGCCGAAGGUGGGACAGAUGAUUGGGGUGAAGUCGUAACAAGGUAGCCGUAGGUGAACCUGCGGCUGGAUCACCUCCUUUCUAAGGA